GACGAACGCUGGCGGCGUGCUUAACACAUGCAAGUCGAACGGUAAGGCCCUUCGGGGUACACGAGUGGCGAACGGGUGAGUAACACGUGGGUGAUCUGCCCUGCACUUCGGGAUAAGCCUGGGAAACUGGGUCUAAUACCGGAUAGGACCCUGGGAUGCAUGUCCUGGGGUGGAAAGCUUUUGCAGUGUGGGAUGGGCCCGCGGCCUAUCAGCUUGUUGGUGGGGUGAUGGCCUACCAAGGCGACGACGGGUAGCCGGCCUGAGAGGGUGACCGGCCAACCUGGGACUGAGAUACGGCCCAGACUCCUACGGGAGGCAGCAGUGGGGAAUAUUGCACAAUGGGCGCAAGCCUGAUGCAGCGACGCCGCGUGAGGGAUGACGGCCUUCGGGUUGUAAACCUCUUUCAGCACCGACGAAGCGCAAGUGACGGUAGGUGCAGAAGAAGGACCGGCCAACUACGUGCCAGCCGCCGCGGUAA
RNAcentral lists this ribosomal RNA (478 nucleotides) under uncultured bacterium. RNAcentral describes it as "partial 16S ribosomal RNA". It matches the Rfam family "Bacterial small subunit ribosomal RNA", at positions 28 to 523 of the family's 1533-position model. The record is from RNAcentral.